RNAcentral lists this small nucleolar RNA (68 nucleotides) under Dasypus novemcinctus (nine-banded armadillo). Its description in RNAcentral is "Small nucleolar RNA SNORD42 (ENSDNOG00000026976.1)". It matches the Rfam family "Small nucleolar RNA SNORD42". Rfam says of the family: snoRNA U42 is found in intron 3 of the ribosomal protein L23a (RPL23a) gene in humans and is also present in mice. Lineage: Eukaryota; Metazoa; Chordata; Mammalia; Cingulata; Dasypodidae. The record is from RNAcentral.
GUGCGUAUGAUGGAAAAAAACUUAACCUUCUGAGAGUUAUGAUGCCUUCAAAGGAACCACUGAUGCAC